This 437-nucleotide ribosomal RNA is filed under the name uncultured Desulfocapsa sp. RNAcentral's name for it is "bacterial SSU rRNA". It matches the Rfam family "Bacterial small subunit ribosomal RNA", at positions 950 to 1382 of the family's 1533-position model. Lineage: Bacteria; Pseudomonadati; Thermodesulfobacteriota; Desulfobulbia; Desulfobulbales; Desulfocapsaceae. The record is from RNAcentral.
UUCGACGCAACGCGCAGAACCUUACCUGGUCUUGACAUCCCGGGAAUCUUUACUGAAAGGAGAGAGUGCCUCGCAAGAGGAGCCUGGAGACAGGUGCUGCAUGGCUGUCGUCAGCUCGUGUCGUGAGAUGUUCGGGUUAAGUCCCGCGACGAGCGCAACCCCUAUCUUUAGUUGCCAUCAUUGAGUUGGGCACUCUAAAGAGACUGCCGGUGUCAAACCGGAGGAAGGUGGGGAUGACGUCAAGUCCUCAUGGCCUUUAUGACCAGGGCUACACACGUACUACAAUGGCCGGUACAAAGGGCAGCGACACAGCGAUGUGAAGCCAAUCCCGAAAAGCCGGUCUCAGUCCGGAUUGGAGUCUGCAACUCGACUCCAUGAAGUUGGAAUCGCUAGUAAUCGCGGAUCAGCACGCCGCGGUGAAUACGUUCCCGGGCCUU